AAGAUUAUACUUUCAGUGUUCAUUCCUAUAAAGUUACCAGAAAAGUUUCUCUGAUGGAGUUGAGCGCCUGAAAUCAUGAGGAGGAGCCAGAGCAUCCUCUCCUGAACAUGAAGCCGGUUAUGUGUGUUUGCUUUUUCAACUGCCUUUUACUGGUGAUGCUCUUUCUUCUCUUCCUUUGAAAGAGGGACAGACCUAGAAGGA
This 201-nucleotide small nucleolar RNA is filed under the name Sorex araneus (European shrew). Its description in RNAcentral is "Small nucleolar RNA U3 (ENSSARG00000019199.1)". It matches the Rfam family "Small nucleolar RNA U3". From Rfam's summary of the family: Small nucleolar RNAs (snoRNAs) are involved in the processing and modification of rRNA in the nucleolus. There are two main classes of snoRNAs: the box C/D class, and the box H/ACA class. Lineage: Eukaryota; Metazoa; Chordata; Mammalia; Eulipotyphla; Soricidae. The record is from RNAcentral.